AGUGGGAUAACUGGGUCAAAUGGUGGUUCUAUUCCCCAUUUUCCAAGGAAUCUCCAUACUGCUUUCCAGAUGGGUUGCACCAAUUUGCAGUCCCACCAGCAAU
RNAcentral lists this microRNA precursor (103 nucleotides) under Marmota monax (woodchuck). The record is from RNAcentral. Lineage: Eukaryota; Metazoa; Chordata; Mammalia; Rodentia; Sciuridae.